RNAcentral lists this ribosomal RNA (254 nucleotides) under uncultured bacterium. Its description in RNAcentral is "partial 16S ribosomal RNA". It matches the Rfam family "Bacterial small subunit ribosomal RNA", at positions 524 to 776 of the family's 1533-position model. The record is from RNAcentral.
UACGGGGGGAGCAAGCGUUGUUCGGAUUUACUGGGCGUAAAGGGCGCGUAGGCGGCCAGCACAAGUCAGUUGUGAAAUCUCCGAGCUUAACUCGGAAAGGUCAACUGAUACUGUGCGGCUAGAGUGCGGAAGGGGCAACUGGAAUUCUUGGUGUAGCGGUGAAAUGCGUAGAUAUCAAGAGGAACACCGGUGGCGAAGGCGGAUCUCUGGGCCAUUACUGACGCUGAGGAGCGAAAGCGUGGGGAGCGAACAGG